CCUACGGGAGGCAGCAGUGAGGAAUAUUGGUCAAUGGGCGCAAGCCUGAACCAGCCAAGUCGCGUGCGGGAUGACGGUCCUAUGGAUUGUAAACCUCUUUUGUCGGGGAGCAAGGCCCGCCAUGUGUGGCGGGAAGGAGAGUACCCGAAGAAAAAGCAUCGGCUAACUCCGUGCCAGCAGCCGCGGUAAUACGGAGGAUGCGAGCGUUAUCCGGAUUUAUUGGGUUAAAAGGGUGCGUAGGCGGAAGGUUAAGUCAGCGGUAAAAUGUCGGUGCUCAACACCGGCCUGCCGUUGAAACUGGUCUUCUUGAGUGAGCGAGAGGUAUGCGGAAUGCGUGGUGUAGCGGUGAAAUGCAUAGAUAUCACGCAGAACUCCGAUUGCGAAGGCAGCAUACCGGCGCUCAACUGACGCUGAGGCACGAAAGCGUGGGGAUCGAACAGGAUUAGAUACCCGAGUAGUC
Molecule: ribosomal RNA, 460 nt
Filed under: uncultured bacterium
Lineage: Bacteria
Description: partial 16S ribosomal RNA
Rfam family: Bacterial small subunit ribosomal RNA
Source: RNAcentral